GGGCCAUUGAGAAGGAUCUCCGGGCAGCAGCCUCUUUGCUCAGGCUUCACUGCCAUGACUGUUUUGCUUUGGUUAGUUUCCAUCACUUUGAAACUAACCAGAGCAAAACAGUCGUGGAAGUGAAGCCUGAGCUAAGAGGCCGCUACCCGGGGAUCCAAAACUGCAAGU
Molecule: microRNA precursor, 168 nt
Filed under: Malus domestica (apple)
Lineage: Eukaryota; Viridiplantae; Streptophyta; Magnoliopsida; Rosales; Rosaceae
Description: miR10983 stem-loop (mdm-MIR10983)
Source: miRBase by way of RNAcentral